GUAGCUCAGUUGGUUAGAGUGCCGGCCUGUCACGCCGGAGGUCGCGGGUUCGAGCCCCGUC
This 61-nucleotide transfer RNA is filed under the name Hyphomicrobiales bacterium. Its description in RNAcentral is "Rhizobiales bacterium tRNA-Asp". It matches the Rfam family "tRNA", at positions 7 to 64 of the family's 71-position model. From Rfam's summary of the family: Transfer RNA (tRNA) molecules are approximately 80 nucleotides in length. Their secondary structure includes four short double-helical elements and three loops (D, anti-codon, and T loops). Lineage: Bacteria; Pseudomonadati; Pseudomonadota; Alphaproteobacteria; Hyphomicrobiales. The record is from RNAcentral.